RNAcentral lists this transfer RNA (76 nucleotides) under Ictidomys tridecemlineatus (thirteen-lined ground squirrel). RNAcentral's name for it is "Spermophilus tridecemlineatus (thirteen-lined ground squirrel) tRNA". It matches the Rfam family "tRNA". From Rfam's summary of the family: Transfer RNA (tRNA) molecules are approximately 80 nucleotides in length. Lineage: Eukaryota; Metazoa; Chordata; Mammalia; Rodentia; Sciuridae. The record is from Rfam by way of RNAcentral.
GGAGUUGUAGCUCAGCGGUAGAGCACUUGCUUGCAUAGCAUGUGUGAGGCACUGGGAUGGAUUCUCAGCACCACCU